RNAcentral lists this long non-coding RNA (1724 nucleotides) under Equus asinus (donkey). Its description in RNAcentral is "lncRNA (ENSEASG00005031509.1)". Lineage: Eukaryota; Metazoa; Chordata; Mammalia; Perissodactyla; Equidae. The record is from RNAcentral.
CUGGGCCACCUGGCCGGCCCCUCAUUAUUUCUUAAUAAGAUAAACUAUACUCACAAUGCUGAAUGCCAGAGGAAUUAAGAAUACAAUUGUCGAUACUAAACUUCCAUUGUCACGGACAAAUCUUCUUUACAGAGUUUAUAAAUACAUUUCGAAAAUCUCACUGUCAGUACUUUUUUUUUCCAACUCUUUCAAUAAAGCCUAGAGUUAAAAAAAGAAAAAAAAAAAAGGAUGGCGCCCUCCGGUGGGGGCGCGGCACAAGGAGAGCACGAAGAUGGCGUCUACCGGCCUCGUCCGCAGAGCAGGAGGCCUCCAGAUACUUGCCAGACCAGGUGCCUGCCCCUCAGGCCAAGGCUCCAAGACCAGGAAAUGAGCCUCUUUCAGUCUGGGCGCCUCUCCUGGCCGAUUCUGCACUGGGCCCGGGAGCAGGUGAGUCCACAAUGUGGUGUGACUAGAGGACAGAAGCCUGACUCCCUGCCAGGAUGGAGAUUGUUCCCAUUAGUCCUCAUGGGCAUGCUUAUGGGCUAAUAUAGCCCUCGAAAUCACCUUCUGGCAUUGAAAAUUCUGCCUUGGGGCUUCUAAAGCACUGGAAAGUCUGCAGGGACCCCUCUCCUCCAGGCCAGUUGAAUCGAUUCCCUGGAUCUUUAGAGGAAUAAGAAACGCACCCUGACAGUAAUUCCCUGCAUUGGGUACACCAGCGCUGCACUCGGCAAUUGAAUGUUACGUGUGGAUUUUAGUUUAUAUUAUUUAAAACAUACACAUCCGUACCUAUCAGAAUGUCCUUCUUUUCACUGUUAGUUGCAAAGGUGAUACGUGUUAAAGGUGACCUGUGUUAUGGCAAUGAAACCACAAAUACAGUUCAGCAUGAUGGCGUUGUGGUGUGGUGCCAGCGCACUGAUACGAGUGCCAGAAGCCUUGCUCCUUAGCUUUGUGACCUCGUGCCUGGCUGGAUUGUACAAAAACUUAAAUCCAAAUAUCAAAUUCCUCUUAUUCUUAGCAUAUUCUCUUAAGAUAUUCUUCUCUGUGGAAGCAGAAAUUUUCUCGGAGUUUUCUGGUAACAUUUUUUUUUUUUUGCAACUUCCAAUUUGACUUGAGACAAAAAUUUAUGAUCUUAUAGAAACAAAGAAACCAUCUUUAGGAAGAAUACACUUGCCCGUGGCUUCACCAAAACUUCGAAGAAAGAUACUGCCCAAGUACAAAACAUGGCCGGAGUGCCUCCUCCCUUUCCCACUGCUGGAGCUGCACAUUGGCCUCGGGGGCUGAUGUGGCUGCGGAGGCAAGAGCUCAUGUCGUCCCUCACACUCGUGAGUCCUUGGAGAGCUGGGGCUCAGCCACACACGAUGACCUACAGACGCUGGAAUACUGGCCCCAUUGUUUGUGUACACGAGUGACUCUGCACAGUCCUCUGCUAGAACUUUCUACAGUAUAUCAGAGUAAAACAAAAUAAGUAAACUGGGCGUUUCAUAUUAAAAUGGUUAGUAAGCAUUUGAGAAGUUGUGUUCAUAUACUGCUAAGUGGGAAUGAAAGGUUACAAAACAGUGUGUGCCAUACAAUUCUGUUUUUAUUUAAAAAUACACAAAGAAGAAAAGACUAGCAGGAGAUAAAGCAAAAUGUUCAUAACAGCUUUGUCUUGCGUCAUUACAAUGAUAUAAGAAUGACACAAAAAUUCUCAUUCAUUUCCUUUAUAUCCUUCCAGUGUUUCUUUAUGAAAAUAAAUGGAAAUACAA